GCGUUGGUGGUAUAGUGAUUAGCAAGCUGCCUUUCAAGCAGUUGACCCGGGUUCGAUUCCCGGCUAACAGCA
This 72-nucleotide transfer RNA is filed under the name Nematostella vectensis (starlet sea anemone). It matches the Rfam family "tRNA". From Rfam's summary of the family: Transfer RNA (tRNA) molecules are approximately 80 nucleotides in length. Their secondary structure includes four short double-helical elements and three loops (D, anti-codon, and T loops). Further hydrogen bonds mediate the characteristic L-shaped molecular structure. tRNAs have two regions of fundamental functional importance: the anti-codon, which is responsible for specific mRNA codon recognition, and the 3' end, to which the tRNAs corresponding amino acid is attached (by aminoacyl-tRNA synthetases). tRNAs cope with the degeneracy of the genetic code in two manners: having more than one tRNA (with a specific anti-codon) for a particular amino acid; and 'wobble' base-pairing, i.e. permitting non-standard base-pairing at the 3rd anti-codon position. Lineage: Eukaryota; Metazoa; Cnidaria; Anthozoa; Actiniaria; Edwardsiidae. The record is from Rfam by way of RNAcentral.